Molecule: ribosomal RNA, 672 nt
Filed under: Proteocephalus plecoglossi
Lineage: Eukaryota; Metazoa; Platyhelminthes; Cestoda; Proteocephalidea; Proteocephalidae
Description: partial 16S ribosomal RNA
Rfam family: Bacterial large subunit ribosomal RNA (bases 221-380)
Source: RNAcentral
CUUAAAAUUUAUAUUCAUCACCCUAGUGAAGAUAUUAGGCUGACAUAUAUAUCAUANUUCAANNNNNNNNNNNAUAGGGUUAAAAUUACCCAAUUAUAAAAAAAUUGUUUAAAAUUUUUUGUAACAGAUGUUUGAUUAUAGUAAUGGUUGUUUAUUUNAAACAUUUWGRAUUUAACUAUUUUUGAAUUAGUAAUAAAAAAAAAAUAAUCAUUUCUCAAGUUUUGCCCGUCUGUUUAUUAAAAACAUUUCCAUAUUAAACAUUUUAUGGUAUUACCUGCUCUAUGUUUAUUAUAAAUGGCCGCAGUAUCUUGACUGUGCGAAGGUAGCAUAAUUAAUUGCCUUAUAAUUGAAGGCUUGUUUGAAUGGUUUGACGUGGUAAAUACAAAUGUUUAUUUUUUUUCUGAAAUUUAUUUAGAGGGCACAGAAUCCUCUUCUUUUAAUUAGACGGAAAGACCCCAGGAUCUUUGUUUUUUUGUCUGGGGCAGACUUUUAUAUUUCAUAAAUAUUUUGAUCCUUUAGAGUAUAAUGAUUUAAGUUACCCUGGGGAUAACAGUGUAAUAGUUUANNNNNNUUCUUAUCAAAUAAACUGUUUGCUACCUCGAUGUUNNNNNNNAUANNNNGGGUAGGCGCAGUAGUCUAUUCUUUUGGUCUGUUCGACCAGUUCUACCUCCA